GAGUCCUCGCCGUCUGCUUGGUGAAGGACUUCCCCAAGGAGCCCCAGGAGAUGGUGAGGGAAGGACCAGUCAGGGUUACAGCUUGCUUCUUCCAGUCAUUUUUCAUCUAGUGACCACAUGUCAGCACACCCAGCCAAAGAAACAUGCCGAUGGGCCUGGCUGUGAUAUUCUGUCUCAUGUCUCAAACAUUUCUGCUCGUUAUCCUGCCAGUGGAUAGUGUUACUGAAAAAUUCCUUGUUGAAAUCAAUCCUGUCUUCAAAGAAGUGGGGAGAAAAAGGCAACAAUUGGUGUGAGGAAUCACAGUCCCUCAAAUUAUUUUACAGAAGAGAGGCUUAUUCUCCUGAUAUUGCUCAAAUCUUCUGGCCCUGUGGAGUCACAAGGAAGGCUGACUCAUUUGUGGCAGGCCGGGCUGUUUCCUUGCUGAAUAUGUGACAACAUAGACCCCUCCAUGGCUGCAUACUGUGAAAUUUCAAUCCCUGUCCUGUCAGCCUGUUCAUGUGAAGACGGAUGAUAUGCCUGAUGAAGUCAAAGGGCCUGAUCCUGCUACUGCUGAAGUAACUAAUAAAUCUCCCAUUAACUUCAGAGAAGCCCUGAAGGAGCCACUUGGUCAAAUUGCUCAAUUAAACAGAGACAAAGUAGCCAUCACGAGUGUUUUGGAGACAGAGAGCCAGGCAGCCCCUGAAGCAGGACAGCAGACCAAGGAGGGUGCAGACUGGGAGAUGUCUGUGCCCUGGGGUGCCUGGAGAGAUGCACCUAGAGGAAACUUUGCAGACCAACUGAAAAAGAGGUGCAGAACAACCUUCAUUUCUCCUUACCCUGGCAAGGACUGGAGUUUGACAGCAUACUGAUGAAAAAAAGACAUUAUGUGAAUGGCAGAAAAGACAUACAGUAGCAAGGUGAUCCUACUACAUAUGGAUAUGUACAGAGAGAUAUCUCAGAACAUCUUCAUUUAAUUUUCUCUUCUGCAAAAGAGAUGGAACAAGGAGGUUUUCAUUUCAAGAUAAAUGCUAAUUGACACUCUGCCUCCCAGGAAAAUAUCACAUGAAGAAAAUGCAGCCUUCCCUGCAGAACAGAGAAGACUGCAAAAUGCUGUUCUGAAUUCCUGAGCUUCAUGGCAUCGAGUUUUAAAUUUUCAUGUCUCCAGGUUUUCAAUAUUUACUUUCAUUUCCUUAUCAAGUUAUAAAAAGGAUGAUGAUUUCAUUGCUUGUGACUUAUUCUUGGGACUUUGGAAGUACCAGUAUCAGUCACUAGUAUUAUUAAAAAACAGUACAGACCCCUGUAUCAGGGAAGGAAAAAUCCAAACAUGGACAGAUUUGUUUCUUUCCUCUUGGUGUGAAAAUGAUAGUACUCCCUAACACAACCCAAAUAGUGAAGAACGAUACUCAUUCAAUUGUGUUUCAACAUUAUAUUCUGCUUUACUUUAUAGAAUAUUUGGAAAAAUUCAGAAUUUUUUUUUCCCAAAAAGAUACUGAAGGGAAUUUCUUAUUCUUCUAAUCUUAAUUAAACAUUGAUAUGUGUAAAAUGUUUUGUGGCUACACGUUCCUUCAAGCUUCCACUUCAAGAUGAAAUGUUUGUUUAAUGUUUUCCACAAAAUGCACACCUCAAGAUUUCAUAGAUACCAGAAUUCUGAAAUUCUAAGUUAUUAUACACAUUGGAAAUGUAAGGAUAUCACACCUGUGCUUUCAUUCUGAACUGUUUCUGAUUCUGUUGAAGGAUUAUUUUGUCAUGUUGACUGGAUCUUUCCAGCUAUGUCUACCAUUUAUUGAACUAUUAAUAUAAUCCACAUGGAAUGUUACAUGAGGCAGCAAUCCUGCAGCUAGGAUUGUAGGCAAUCAUGUAAUUAAAGAUUGUAUCAUGAUACAUCAGCACAGGGAGGCCAAUUUAAUAAGAACAAGAACAAUCUGAAGUCUGGCACUUUCUUUGUUUAGGACUUGCCUUUACAAAUGUCUAAUGAACUAAUCUGAUCUGAUAAUUGCAUGUCUUUUUUGUACUAGAGGAUAUAGUCAGAAGAUACAUUUCUAGAAUAAUUGAAGCAUAAUACCUUUAGCAAAAGAAAAAAAGAGCUCAAAUUCUAGUUCAUCACUUUUCUUAAAGUAUUUCUUCUGCUCAAUAUUUGGCCUUCAUAUUUACUGGUGUGGAAAGUAGGAUUUGAUAGGCUGGAUGGUUUUAUUUGGCAGAGGAAGAAGUUUGUUGUUUACAUUUGCUUAGCUGGUAGAACAGCAUGCUCAGGUGUUUCCUAGUAACUUAAACAGCUACCCCUAAUACUUUUAAAAUAAAAUUAAAAAUAUGAAAUGCA
RNAcentral lists this long non-coding RNA (2296 nucleotides) under Anas platyrhynchos platyrhynchos (common mallard). RNAcentral's name for it is "lncRNA (ENSAPLG00000024090.1)". The record is from RNAcentral. Lineage: Eukaryota; Metazoa; Chordata; Aves; Anseriformes; Anatidae.